AUCUAGCCAUGGGCAGGUUGAAGGUUGGGUAACACUAACUGGAGGACCGAACCGACUAAUGUUGAAAAAUUAGCGGAUGACUUGUGGCUGGGGGUGAAAGGCCAAUCAAACCGGGAGAUAGCUGGUUCUCCCCGAAAGCUAUUUAGGUAGCGCCUCGUGAAUUCAUCUCCGGGGGUAGAGCACUGUUUCGGCAAGGGGGUCAUCCCGACUUACCAACCCGAUGCAAACUGCGAAUACCGGAGAAUGUUAUCACGGGAGACACACGGCGGGUGCUAACGUCCGUCGUGAAGAGGGAAACAACCCAGACCGCCAGCUAAGGUCCCAAAGUCAUGGUUAAGUGGGAAACGAUGUGGGAAGGCCCAGACAGCCAGGAUGUUGGCUUAGAAGCAGCCAUCAUUUAAAGAAAGCGUAAUAGCUCACUGGUCGAGUCGGCCUGCGCGGAAGAUGUAACGGGGCUAAACCAUGCACCGAAGCUGCGGCAGCGACGCUUAUGCGUUGUUGGGUAGGGGAGCGUUCUGUAAGCCUGCGAAGGUGUGCUGUGAGGCAUGCUGGAGGUAUCAGAAGUGCGAAUGCUGACAUAAGUAACGAUAAAGCGGGUGAAAAGCCCGCUCGCCGGAAGACCAAGGGUUCCUGUCCAACGUUAAUCGGGGCAGGGUGAGUCGACCCCUAAGGCGAGGCCGAAAGGCGUAGUCGAUGGGAAACAGGUUAAUAUUCCUGUACUUGGUGUUACUGCGAAGGGGGGACGGAGAAGGCUAUGUUGGCCGGGCGACGGUUGUCCCGGUUUAAGCGUGUAGGCUGGUUUUCCAGGCAAAUCCGGAAAAUCAAGGCUGAGGCGUGAUGACGAGGCACUACGGUGCUGAAGCAACAAAUGCCCUGCUUCCAGGAAAAGCCUCUAAGCAUCAGGUAACAUCAAAUCGUACCCCAAACCGACACAGGUGGUCAGGUAGAGAAUACCAAGGCGCUUGAGAGAACUCGGGUGAAGGAACUAGGCAAAAUGGUGCCGUAACUUCGGGAGAAGGCACGCUGAUAUGUAGGUGAAGUCCCUCGCGGAUGGAGCUGAAAUCAGUCGAAGAUACCAGCUGGCUGCAACUGUUUAUUAAAAACACAGCACUGUGCAAACACGAAAGUGGACGUAUACGGUGUGACGCCUGCCCGGUGC
This 1159-nucleotide ribosomal RNA is filed under the name Escherichia coli. RNAcentral's name for it is "partial 23S ribosomal RNA". It matches the Rfam family "Bacterial large subunit ribosomal RNA", at positions 728 to 1869 of the family's 2925-position model. The record is from RNAcentral. Lineage: Bacteria; Pseudomonadati; Pseudomonadota; Gammaproteobacteria; Enterobacterales; Enterobacteriaceae.